This 397-nucleotide ribosomal RNA is filed under the name uncultured Glomeromycotina. RNAcentral describes it as "SSU rRNA". It matches the Rfam family "Eukaryotic small subunit ribosomal RNA", at positions 569 to 971 of the family's 1831-position model. The record is from RNAcentral. Lineage: Eukaryota; Fungi; Glomeromycota.
AGCAGCCGCGGUAAUUCCAGCUCCAAUAGCGUAUAUUAAAGUUGUUGCAGUUAAAAAGCUCGUAGUUGAAUUUCGAGACCGGUCUACUGGUCGUGCUUUUGUACGUACUAGUAUAAUCGGUUUCUCUCUUCUGACGAACUAUAAUGCUAUUAAUUUGGUGUUUUAGGGAAUCAGGACUGUUACUUUGAAAAAAUUAGAGUGUUUAAAGCAGGCUCACGCUUGAAUACAUUAGCAUGGAAUAACGAAAUAGGACGUUUGAUUCUAUUUUGUUGGUUUCUAGGAUCGACGUAAUGAUUAAUAGGGAUAGUUGGGGGCAUUAGUAUUCAAUUGUCAGAGGUGAAAUUCUUGGAUUUAUUGAAGACUAACUACUGCGAAAGCAUUUGCCAAGGAUGUUUUC